RNAcentral lists this ribosomal RNA (357 nucleotides) under Escherichia coli. RNAcentral describes it as "bacterial SSU rRNA". It matches the Rfam family "Bacterial small subunit ribosomal RNA", at positions 1 to 352 of the family's 1533-position model. Lineage: Bacteria; Pseudomonadati; Pseudomonadota; Gammaproteobacteria; Enterobacterales; Enterobacteriaceae. The record is from RNAcentral.
UUAAAUUGAAGAGUUUGAUCAUGGCUCAGAUUGAACGCUGGCGGCAGGCCUAACACAUGCAAGUCGAACGGUAACAGGAAGCAGCUUGCUGCUUUGCUGACGAGUGGCGGACGGGUGAGUAAUGUCUGGGAAACUGCCCGAUGGAGGGGGAUAACUACUGGAAACGGUAGCUAAUACCGCAUAACGUCGCAAGACCAAAGAGGGGGACCUUAGGGCCUCUUGCCAUCGGAUGUGCCCAGAUGGGAUUAGCUAGUAGGUGGGGUAACGGCUCACCUAGGCGACGAUCCCUAGCUGGUCUGAGAGGAUGACCAGCCACACUGGAACUGAGACACGGUCCAGACUCCUACGGGAGGCAGC